UUUUAAUUAUUUUUUUUCUCUUUUGUGGAGUUACACUAAUGAUUAUGUCCCUUCUAACAUGUACUUUUACUCCAAUUAAUAUUACAUUACUUUUGAACUUUUUUUAAGGGAAAUUAGUUAAUGUCCAUCAUGAGCCUCUGUUUGUUUCAUAAGCAAUAGACUUCCAGUUUUUAUCUCCCUGUUGAUCAUUGUGGAUUCAAACUACAGUUGGGGUUGAUAUUUUUAGUUUUAUUGUUCCAGGAUAUGUGCAGAAAAUAACAG
Molecule: unclassified non-coding RNA, 261 nt
Filed under: Hevea brasiliensis (rubber tree)
Lineage: Eukaryota; Viridiplantae; Streptophyta; Magnoliopsida; Malpighiales; Euphorbiaceae
Source: RNAcentral